GGGUUGUGAGGUUAAGCGACUAAGCGUACACGGUGGAUGCCCUGGCAGUCAGAGGCGAUGAAGGGCGUGCUAAUCUGCGAUAAGCGCCGGUAAGGUGAUAUGAACCGUUAUAACCGGCGAUACCCGAAUGGGGAAACCCAGUGUGACUCGUCACACUAUCAUUAACUGAAUCCAUAGGUUAAUGAGGCGAACCGGGGGAACUGAAACAUCUAAGUACCCCGAGGAAAAGAAAUCAACCGAGAUUCCCCCAGUAGCGGCGAGCGAACGGGGAGGAGCCCAGAGCCUGAAUCAGCAUGUGUGUUAGUGGAAGCGUCUGGAAAGGCGCGCGAUACAGGGUGACAGCCCCGUACACAAAAGCGCAUGUGCUGUGAGCUCGAUGAGUAGGGCGGGACACGUGGUAUCCUGUCUGAAUAUGGGGGGACCAUCCUCCAAGGCUAAAUACUCCUGACUGACCGAUAGUGAACCAGUACCGUGAGGGAAAGGCGAAAAGAACCCCGGCGAGGGGAGUGAAAAAGAACCUGAAACCGUGUACGUACAAGCAGUGGGAGCACAGGUUUACCUGUGUGACUG
RNAcentral lists this ribosomal RNA (570 nucleotides) under Salmonella enterica subsp. enterica serovar Enteritidis. RNAcentral describes it as "partial 23S ribosomal RNA". It matches the Rfam family "Bacterial large subunit ribosomal RNA", at positions 1 to 599 of the family's 2925-position model. The record is from RNAcentral. Lineage: Bacteria; Pseudomonadati; Pseudomonadota; Gammaproteobacteria; Enterobacterales; Enterobacteriaceae.